GGUAUUGUGGGCCUACCGGACAACCCCCAGAACCACAACCGGUCACUCGCCGUUCUCAAUGGCAUACGGUUGUGAAGCAAUGGUCCCGGUGGAAACAUUAUUCCCAUCCCACAGGAGAACGACUUAUGAUCCGGCCACCAAUCAGGCCCUGCUCCAAGAAGCUCUGGAUCAAGUCGAAGAACUCCGGGAUGAGUCCCAAAUACGGAUGGCCGCUUAUCAAAAGAAGGUGACCAAGUAUUUUAACUCCAAGGUUAAAAACAGAAAAUUCGCUAUCGGUGACAUGGUCCUAAGAAGGGUCUUCCCAGCCACCCAAGAACCCGGAGUGGGGGUACUUGGACCAAAUUGGGAAGGACCAUAUGAAAUCGAGGACGAAAUCGGCUCUGGCACUUACAAACUGAAAAGAAUGGACGGAACUACUGUCCCAAGAGCCUGGAAUGCCGAUCACCUCAGAAAAUACUACCAGUAGCGAAUUAAACUUAGCUUUUGUUUAAAGGGUUUGUACCGUCCAAAUGUAUGCCUCCUCUAUAUUAAAUAAAACUGAGUGCCUUAAAAACAAAGUUUCUAUGCCACUCAGGGGGGUACUAGGGUAUACCGCACGGACAAACAAAAACAAGCUAAGUAAAACAUCCUGACCCAAAGGGCAGGUCAAGCUAAGUAAAACAUCCUGACCCAAAGGGCAGGUCAUAAACAUGCGCAAAAAAUAAAAGGCGUAAGUAUGAAAUCCUGAGCCAAAGGACAGGUUGAAAUAUAUAAAGUGUGGAAAAAAGAUCGCACGUAUAUAUAUAAAAAAAAUAUAUAUAUAAUAAAAUAUCCUAACCCGAAGGUUAGGUCAUACACAUAUAAAUGGCCCGGGGACAGGCCUUAAAUUGUCUCCCCUUUAAAUAAAGGCUGCCGCCUGUAAGUAAACUGUUCUAAGGCAGCAGCAAAUAUGUACAAAGAAAAAAAAAGGGAG
Long non-coding RNA from Cannabis sativa, 952 nucleotides. RefSeq lists it as uncharacterized. Lineage: Eukaryota; Viridiplantae; Streptophyta; Magnoliopsida; Rosales; Cannabaceae. The transcript is spliced from 2 exons. The record is from RefSeq and is a predicted model, not a curated record.